RNAcentral lists this ribosomal RNA (253 nucleotides) under uncultured bacterium. Its description in RNAcentral is "partial 16S ribosomal RNA". It matches the Rfam family "Bacterial small subunit ribosomal RNA", at positions 524 to 776 of the family's 1533-position model. The record is from RNAcentral.
UACGUAGGGGGCGAGCGUUGUUCGGAUUUAUUGGGCGUAAAGCGCACGUAGGCGGAUUUGUAAGUCAGGGGUGAAAUCCCGAGGCUCAACCUCGGAACUGCCUUUGAUACUGCAAAUCUCGAGUCCGGAAGAGGUGAGUGGAAUUCCUAGUGUAGAGGUGAAAUUCGUAGAUAUUAGGAAGAACACCAGUGGCGAAGGCGGCUCACUGGUCCGGUACUGACGCUGAGGUGCGAAAGCUAGGGGAGCGAACAGG